RNAcentral lists this non-coding RNA (29 nucleotides) under Mus musculus (house mouse). Lineage: Eukaryota; Metazoa; Chordata; Mammalia; Rodentia; Muridae. The record is from RNAcentral.
UUGAAGAUUCUAUUUCCCCACGAUGUCCA